This 233-nucleotide ribosomal RNA is filed under the name uncultured Staphylococcus sp. RNAcentral's name for it is "partial 16S ribosomal RNA". It matches the Rfam family "Bacterial small subunit ribosomal RNA", at positions 107 to 334 of the family's 1533-position model. The record is from RNAcentral. Lineage: Bacteria; Bacillati; Bacillota; Bacilli; Caryophanales; Staphylococcaceae.
UGAGUAACACGUGGAUAACCUACCUAUAAGACUGGGAUAACUUCGGGAAACCGGAGCUAAUACCGGAUAAUAUAUUGAACCGCAUGGUUCAAUAGUGAAAGACGGUUUUGCUGUCACUUAUAGAUGGAUCCGCGCCGCAUUAGCUAGUUGGUAAGGUAACGGCUUACCAAUGCAACGAUGCGUAGCCGACCUGAGAGGGUGAUCGGCCACACUGUAACUGAGACACGGUCCAG